RNAcentral lists this small RNA (80 nucleotides) under Flavobacterium branchiophilum. RNAcentral describes it as "Flavo-1 RNA". It matches the Rfam family "Flavo-1 RNA". The record is from Rfam by way of RNAcentral. Lineage: Bacteria; Pseudomonadati; Bacteroidota; Flavobacteriia; Flavobacteriales; Flavobacteriaceae.
UUUUAGCCCUGAUUGUAGUGGAAAUCCUUUUUGUUUUUUCUUUAAAAACAAAAAGAUUGCAACGAAAAGCAGGUAUUGGC